CUUGGUCAUUUAGAGGAAGUAAAAGUCGUAACAAGGUCUCCGUUGGUGAACCAGCGGAGGGAUCAUUACUGAGUUACCGCUCUAUAACCCUUUGUGAACAUACCUACAACUGUUGCUUCGGCGGGUAGGCCGUCCCCUGAAAAGGACGCCUCCCGGCCCGGACCGGACCCCCCGCGGGACCGGACCCGGCGCCCGCCGGAGGAUAACCAAACUCCAUUGUAACGACGUUUCUUCUGAGUGGCAUAAGCAAAAUAAUCAAAACUUUUAACAACGGAUCUCUUGGUUCUGGCAUCGAUGAAGAACGCAGCGAAAUGCGAUAAGUAAUGUGAAUUGCAGAAUUCAGUGAAUCAUCGAAUCUUUGAACGCACAUUGCGCCCGCCAGCAUUCUGGCGGGCAUGCCUGUUCGAGCGUCAUUUCAACCCUCAAGCUCUGCUUGGUGUUGGGGCUCUACGGUCGACGUAGGCCCUCAAAGGUAGUGGCGGACCCUCCCGGAGCCUCCUUUGCGUAGUAACAUUUCGUCUCGCACUGGGAUCCGGAGGGACUCUUGCCGUAAAACCCCCCAAUUUUCCAAAGGU
RNAcentral lists this ribosomal RNA (575 nucleotides) under Colletotrichum boninense. Its description in RNAcentral is "eukaryotic LSU rRNA". The stretch from base 260 to 413 matches the Rfam family "5.8S ribosomal RNA". The record is from RNAcentral. Lineage: Eukaryota; Fungi; Ascomycota; Sordariomycetes; Glomerellales; Glomerellaceae.